AAUAUACCUAUCUAACUUCAUUGAAUGCUGUCUUGACAGUCUAAUUCAGUGCAGACCCCUCAGAUCCACAAAAGGCCUCCAAUCAUUGUGAGCUAUGGGCAGGACCAGACAUCUGGGGAUGGAUGGAGCAUCAAUCCAGAGCCUCUCAGCCAGGUCAUCUCUGCUGUUCCCAUAGAGACACAACAGUUAGAUCAAUCUGUUGAUUCAUAUGGCCAUUUUGGUUGGCUUGGUUGAAUUGACAAUUAUCCAUUCGAGAUGCUAAAGAAUCCUGUACUAUGGAAGGUCUUUUGCCCCACCCCUAAUGUUAUGGGAGUUGCAUUUAUUGCAUUUUCAGUUACCCAUGUAUUACUCACUACUUGUACAACCAUGUUGGAUUGCCUACAUAUUCUACAUUUCCUUGAGGGUCAAUGCCAGUGUAUUCUAUGGCUGCCAUGAGUACAUGCCUUUCUCUGUCUCCUCAGUCUGGAAGGGUGACUCGGCUGAUAGAGAGAAAAUAUCAUGACGUGAUCUCAUCCUCCAGUUCUGAUGACUUUUCCAUCUACUCCUUCACUGACUGUGAAUCUGAGUGUGAUGAUGAGGAUCAUGAAAGGAGGACCCCAAAGCUGAAAGUUGAGAAUGGAAAGGUGACAAAGCUUGAUGUGAGGGAUAUGGAUGAGGAUGAUCUGUCUCUCCACUCCUUCGAUGAGUCAGACUUCCUGGU
Oncorhynchus nerka (sockeye salmon) is the source of this 700-nucleotide long non-coding RNA. RefSeq lists it as uncharacterized. NCBI's taxonomy places the organism in Eukaryota, Metazoa, Chordata, Actinopteri, Salmoniformes, Salmonidae. The record is from RefSeq and is a predicted model, not a curated record. The transcript has 3 exons.